UUUGAGCUUGUUUAAAAAUGAAGCUUGCAGCACGGCGUAGCGGCUUCAUGGGGCUGUAUAAAAACUGAUCUGAUAAUAUUUUAUUCAUCCUUCUCUCCCCUUCCUUUUGCUCUGGAAAUUCCAGGAGCUACUGGCAGUCUCUGCAGGCAGCUCGGGGAGAGGAGCAAGAAUCCCCUUUUAGAAAGCAAUUACACAUGCAAGUCACAUCAGUUCAAGCCAAACUGUGAGCCAGAUCCUGUAGCUGAUAAAACAGCUCUGCAAUACUCCAGGAGGGAGAAAGAUAAUACCGGAUUUCUAGGCCAGCUCCUUGGCGGAUGUGAAUGGGUAUCAGAAUGGUGAAGAAAGUGCAGUGGCUCCAAUUUUCACCAGAGGAGGAUCCGGCCUGUUUAAUCUGUUUGGAACUACCACUCAACUUCAAAGUGUAAUGGAACCACACAGCUGUGUUUGCAGAGUCCCUGAGCUGGGUCCAGGCACUCUUUGGGGCACGGAUUACAGAGCUGCUGGAGGACUAGCUGGCUUCAGCACAGAGCCUGAGGGUGCAAUCCAUACUCCAUCAGAUCUAAUCUGUAUCCCGUGUGUCCCGGAGGGGUUCUCUGCUCUGCCAUGAUGGCUCAUGCCAGAUGCAGCAGGGGCCAACCCCACGGGACAUACCUGCAAGUCAGACCAGGCAAGAAAGUUGAAACUAGCAUCAAAUAAAGGUGUACUAGGCAUUGCACCCCACACACUGGAGGUCACCACCAUUGCCUUGAAGAGCUUAGAAUCUCAGCAUUUGUCCCAGUGACAACUUGAUGAACAUCACCAAAUGCAUUUCACAUGGGCAACCAAUUGGGUCACUCGUUCGUCCUGGUCUGGAUUUGAGUGGACACCCCAUAGGGGCAUCAUAUACCCGAUCUGCAAACCAGCCCCAGUUUUUCUAUUUAUCUUAAUGCAGAAGACAUUCUAAAAAAAACCCGACAGCUGUUUCAUUGAUCUGACCUUUUCUGAGAAACAUUCAUUGAAGCCUGAAGAAUAAAUUAUAGGCGCAGUCUUGCCUGGAAUGGGGAUGGGAUGGGGGGUGGGCGAGCUGGUGGGCCUUUUGGAUCACUGGUUUCUAUGAUGAUUUUACAGUCAUGGUCUGCGAAAGCCACCAGUGUGUUGCAGAACAUUCAUCCAACCAUCCAUAGUGACACCUUGGCGCUCGUCAUUUGGAUCUCUGCAUCACAUUGUCACUGUUCCUGCCUUUCUCCCCAUGUUGAGGCUAAUUUCUCCAUUGAUUGGUUCUUACUUGGUUUAAAAAUAGCUGGUUUGUAGCACAGAAGGGUAAAAUUAGCAGCUCGCGCUUGCUUUUACACAGAUUUACAGCUGUUACAGAAGAGAGAUGUCGGGUCUCUCACAGCCUCACUUCUUGCACUAAACUGCUACCUUCUUCCGGAGCCUUCUCCCCAAGUCCUGAUGACUUGAUUCUUCCUAUUGGUUUCUUUCAUCUUAAGACUGAUUUUAAAACAUACUGUGAUGCUCUGUACCUCGGGGGAACACCCAGCACUCCCAUGUUCCUCCUUGUAAAAUGAUUGUGUGGUAUCUAAUGCAAAGUUUGUCAGGUUGAAAUGUCUUUG
Molecule: long non-coding RNA, 1592 nt
Organism: Chrysemys picta bellii (western painted turtle)
Lineage: Eukaryota; Metazoa; Chordata; Testudines; Emydidae
Source: RefSeq, a predicted model, not a curated record